GAUGAACGCUGGCGGCGUGCCUAAUACAUGCAAGUCGAGCGAACGGGCGAUAAUCUUGCUUCGCUGAUGUUAGCCGCGGACGGGUGAGUAACGCGUGGAAAACGUACCUAUAAGACGGGUAUAACUUCGGAACACGGGAGCUAAUACCUGAUAAUCUUUUGAACCGCAGGGUUCAAAGGUAAAUGACGGUCGUUCUGUCACUUAUAGAGGGUUCCGCGCUGCAUUAGCUAGUUGGUAUGUUAACGGCUUACCAAGGGAACGAUGCAUAGCCGACCUGAGAGGGUGAUCGGCCACCCUGGAAGGGAGACACGGACCAGACUCCUACGGGAGGGCGCAGUAGGGAAUGUGCCGCAAUGGGGGAGAGCAUGACGGAGCAACGGCGAGUGAGUGAUGGCGGUGCUCGGAUCGGAAAACUCUGUUACUAGUGAAGAACAUAUGUCUACGUAACUGUGGCGAUCGUGACGGUACCUAAUCAGAAAGCAACGGCUAACUACGUG
Molecule: ribosomal RNA, 497 nt
Filed under: uncultured bacterium
Lineage: Bacteria
Description: partial 16S ribosomal RNA
Rfam family: Bacterial small subunit ribosomal RNA
Source: RNAcentral